This 425-nucleotide ribosomal RNA is filed under the name uncultured bacterium. Its description in RNAcentral is "partial 16S ribosomal RNA". It matches the Rfam family "Bacterial small subunit ribosomal RNA", at positions 354 to 796 of the family's 1533-position model. The record is from RNAcentral.
GUGGGGAAUCUUAGACAAUGGGCGCAAGCCUGAUCUAGCCAUGCCGCGUGAGCGAUGAAGGCCUUAGGGUUGUAAAGCUCUUUCACCGGAGAAGAUAAUGACGGUAUCCGGAGAAGAAGCCCCGGCUAACUUCGUGCCAGCAGCCGCGGUAAUACGAAGGGGGCUAGCGUUGUUCGGAAUUACUGGGCGUAAAGCGCACGUAGGCGGACAUUUAAGUCAGGGGUGAAAUCCCGGGGCUCAACCCCGGAACUGCCUUUGAUACUGGGUGUCUGGAGUAUGGAAGAGGUAAGUGGAAUUCCGAGUGUAGAGGUGAAAUUCGUAGAUAUUCGGAGGAACACCAGUGGCGAAGGCGGCUUACUGGUCCAUUACUGACGCUGAGGUGCGAAAGCGUGGGGAGCAAACAGGAUUAGAAACCCGUGUAGUCC